RNAcentral lists this long non-coding RNA (3298 nucleotides) under Canis lupus familiaris (dog). RNAcentral's name for it is "lncRNA (ENSCAFG00000056946.1)". The record is from RNAcentral. Lineage: Eukaryota; Metazoa; Chordata; Mammalia; Carnivora; Canidae.
CCGGGCCUGGUGCCGGACCAGCAGGAGGGAGUGAGAACGGGCAGGAUUCUGCUUUCCAGGAGCCUACAGUCUAGUGCAGGGCAGCUUCGAGACAGAUCAACCCACAAAGGAUUGUAAAACUCCCACCAGGAAGAGCACCGGAAAGAGGGGGCCUUUCAGGGGCCCUGGAAUCCUUCUCUGGGGAAGCGACAGCAAGCCGAGGUGAAGGGUGAGCAUGUCUGCGGCCCGUGAAUCAGCCCCCAGGCCGACCCCGCGGAGGUUGGCACAUCUUGACCUGCCUCUUCCAGGCAGAUGGAGAAGAGGGAAUCUGCUGAUGUGCGCUCAGGGCAUAAACAAUCCAUAUCCCGCCCCGGGCCUCUGCGUGCUGGGAGUGUUAACGCCUGCCACAGGGCGUCCCACGGAGAACAGCGCUGAUCCAGAGCCCAGAGAGAACGGGAACCACGGAAUCCAGCUGUUAGACGCUGGAUUCUGCCUCCUCUCCAGGAUGACACAGCAGGUUCUGUGGCCACAUACCCCCGCACCCCCCUCCAUUGUCUGCAGCCCAGUCAAGGCCUCAGGGGCUGCACAGGAGGCAGCGAGGUGUCAUAUAAGAUCUGGGAUGGAAAGAGGUGAUUUUGCCACCUGCUAUGGGACGGUAGGCCAGGGCAGCCUCCCAGUCACAGCUUCCCACUUGAAGGGGGAUCAAGACCUCUGCCCUGCCGGAUCUGUGGGAUUCUUUUGAGGAUCAUAUCAGAUCACUGCUGCGAUGGUUCCUUCUGAACUCCGUACGGGACUGCAGAAUGAUGAUGACGAUGACAGCAAUGCCAUAAAAUUGGAACUGUACAGUGUGUAGCCUUUUCAGAUUGGUUUCUAUCACUUAGCACUCAAGGUUCCUCCAUGUCUUUUCUUUUUUUGAAGAUUUUAUUUAUUUAUCGGGGGGGGGGGGCACAGGUAGGGGGAGGGGCAGAGGGAGAAACAGACUCCACGCUGAGCAGGGAGCCCGAUAUGGUCCCAAUCCCAGGACCCCAGGAUCAUGACAUGAGUCAAAGGCAGCUGCUUAACCAACCCAAGUGCCCCUCUUCCACGUCUUUUCAUUGCUUGGUAGCUCAUUUCUCUUUGUGGCUGAGUUAUAUUCCGUUGGGUAGAUUUCAUUUACUCACUCACCUAUUGAAGGACAUCUUUGUGGCUUCCAAGUUUAAAGUGGCUAUAAAUAUUCAUGUGCAGGUUUUGCGUGGACAUAAGUUUUCAAGUCCUUUGGGUAAAUAUCUAGAAGCAGGAUGAUUGCUGGAUCAUAUGGCAAGCUUAUUUUGUGCUUUGCAACUGCCAAAUUGUCUUUUAGAGUGGCUGUACGUACCAUUUUGCAUUCCCAACCGCAAUAAAUGAGAGUUUCUGUUGUGCCACAUCCUCGCAGGCAUCUGCUGCUGUCAGUGUUUUGGAUUUCAGCCAUCCUAAUAGGUCUGUAGUGCUCUCCUGUUUUGAUUUGCAGCUCCCUAAUGACAUAUGAUGUCGGGUGUGUUUUCAUCUGUUUAUUCCCCAUCUGUAUGUCUUCAAUAGUGAAGUGUCUGUGUAGAUUUUUGGCCACUUAAAUAUUAGAUUAGUUUCUCAUUGUUGAGCUUUAAGAGUUCUUUGUGUGUUUCAGGUAAUGGAUAGAAGUUUUGCAGAGAUUUUUCUCCCAAUCUGUGCUUUUCUUUUCAUUCUCUUGACUUCUCACGGAGUAGAAGUUUUUGAUUUUACUGACACCCAGCUUGUCAAUCUUUUCUUUCAGGAAUUGUGCUUUUGGUGUUGUAUCUACAAAGCCAAGCCCAAGCUCACCUGGAUUUUUUCCUAUGCAACCUUCUAGAAGUUUUAUAGUUUUGCAUUUUACAUUUAGGUCUAUGACCUAUUUUGAGUCAAUUUUUGUGAACGAUAUAAGGUCUAUGUUUGGAUUCUUCUUUUUUUUUUUGCAUGUGGAUGUCCUGUUGUCUAGCACCAUUUGUUCAGAAGACUCUCUUCUCCACUGAAUUGCCUUGCUCCUUUGUCAAAGAUCAGUGGAGAGUAUUUGCAUGGAUCUAUUUUUGGCUUCUGUAUUCUGUCCCAUUGAUCUAUUUAUCUCUUCUUUUACCAAAACCACACUGUCUUGAUUGCUGUAGAUUUGGAGUAAGGCUUAAAGUUGGGUAGAGUUAGUUCACUAACUUUGUUCUGCCUUAGUAUUGUGUUGGUUAUUCUGUGUUUUAGAAUCAGUUUGUAGAAAACGCACAAAUCUGCUGGGAUUUUGGUUGAGACUGCAUCGAAUCUAUAGAUCAAGCUGGAAAAAACUGAUAUCUUAACAUUAUUGAGGCUUCUUACCCAUAAACAUAGGGUAUUUCUCCAUUUAUUUAGUCUUACAUCUUUGUUAUCAACAUUUGGUGGUUUUCUUCCUACAGACCUUUUACAAAUUUUGUUAGAUUUACAACUAAGUACUUCUUUUUCUUUUUUCUCCCCCCCGGCCACACAUUUUUUUUUUUCUGGUGUUAAUAUGUAAAUAGUGUUCACUUUUAAUUUUAAAUUCCAAUUGUUUAUUGCUGGAAUAUAUGGAAACAGUUGACUUUGCAUCCCACAAGCUUACUAUAGUCAUUUAUUAGUUUAAGGAGAUUUUGGGGAUUCCUUGGGAUUUUCUACACAUCAAGUCAUCUGCAAACAAGGGAAGUUUUAUUUCUUUCUUCCCAAUCUGUAUUCCUUUUAUUUUCUUUUCCUGUUUUAUGACAUUAGCUCAGACUUGCAGUACGAUGUUCAAAGGAGUGGUGAUUGGGACAUCCUGGUCUGUUCCUGAUCAUAGGGGGAUAGAAUCUAGUUUCUCACUGUCAAGUCUGAUAUUAUCUGCAGGUUUUUGUAGACAUUUUUAUCAAGCUAAGGAAGCUUCUCUCUGUAUUUUUAUGAGACUUUUUAUCAUGAAUGGGUAUUGGAUUUUGUCGAACCCUUUUCUGCAUCUAUUGAUAUGAUCCUAUGAUUUUUCCUCUUUAGCUUAUUGAUGUGAUGGGUUAUACUAAUUGAUUUGGAAUGUGGAACCAGCUUUGCACCCACUUGGUUGUGUUAUAUAAUUCUUUUUAUACAUUAUUGAUUUGAUUUGUUAAUCCUCUGCUGAGGAUUUUUGCAUGUAUGUUCAUUUUUUAAAGACUCCCCCUAGGGACUCCUGGGUGGCUCUGAGGUUGAGCAUCUGGGUGUGAUCCCAGGCUCUGGGAAUCAAGUCUCACAUUGAGCUCCCCACAGGGGAGCCUGCUUCUCCCCCUGCCUAUGUCUCUGCCUCUCUUUGUGUAUCUCUUAUGAAUAAAUAAAUACAAGCUAUUUAAAAAAAAAAAAAAAA